UACGUAGGGUGCAAGCGUUAAUCGGAAUUACUGGGCGUAAAGCGUGCGCAGGCGGUUUUGUAAGUCUGACGUGAAAUCCCCGGGCUUAACCUGGGAAUUGCGUUGGAGACUGCAAGGCUGGAGUCUGGCAGAGGGGGGUAGAAUUCCCAGUGUAGAGGUGAAAUUCGUAGAUAUUGGGAAGAACACCGGUGGCGAAGGCGGCUCUCUGGACCGAAACUGACGCUGAGGCGCGAAAGCGUGGGGAGCAAACAGG
RNAcentral lists this ribosomal RNA (253 nucleotides) under uncultured bacterium. Its description in RNAcentral is "partial 16S ribosomal RNA". It matches the Rfam family "Bacterial small subunit ribosomal RNA", at positions 524 to 776 of the family's 1533-position model. The record is from RNAcentral.